CCCUGGCUCAGGAUGAACGCAGGCGGCGUGCUUAACACAUGCAAGUCGAACGAUGACCCGGUGCUUGCACCGGUGAUUAGUGGCGAACGGGUGAGUAACACGUGAGUAACCUGCCCUUAACUCUGGGAUAAGCCUGGGAAACUGGGUCUAAUACCGGAUAUGACUCCUCAUCGCAUGGUGGGGGGUGGAAAGCUUUAUUGUGGUUUUGGAUGGACUCGCGGCCUAUCAGCUUGUUGGUGAGGUAAUGGCUCACCAAGGCGACGACGGGUAGCCGGCCUGAGAGGGUGACCGGCCACACUGGGACUGAGACACGGCCCAGACUCCUACGGGAGGCAGCAGUGGGGAAUAUUGCACAAUGGGCGCAAGCCUGAUGCAGCGACGCCGCGUGAGGGAUGACGGCCUUCGGGUUGUAAACCUCUUUCAGUAGGGAAGAAGCGAAAGUGACGGUACCUGCAGAAGAAGCGCCGGCUAAC
RNAcentral lists this ribosomal RNA (473 nucleotides) under Micrococcineae bacterium CL2.115. RNAcentral's name for it is "bacterial SSU rRNA". It matches the Rfam family "Bacterial small subunit ribosomal RNA", at positions 17 to 501 of the family's 1533-position model. The record is from RNAcentral. Lineage: Bacteria; Bacillati; Actinomycetota; Actinomycetes; Micrococcales.